AGAGUUUGAUCCUGGCUCAGGAUGAACGCUAGCGGCAGGCCUAAUACAUGCAAGUCGAACGAUACCAGAGAGCUUGCUUUCUGGGAAAGUGGCGCACGGGUGCGUAACGCGUAUGCAACCUACCUUAAUCAGGGGGAUAGCCUCUCGAAAGAGAGAUUAACACCGCAUAAAAUCACACUUCGGCAUCGAAGAAUGAUCAAAUAUUUAUAGGAUUAAGAUGGGCAUGCGUGACAUUAGUUUGUUGGUGAGGUAACGGCUCACCAAGACUACGAUGUCUAGGGGAUCUGAGAGGAUGACCCCCCACACUGGUACUGAGACACGGACCAGACUCCUACGGGAGGCAGCAGUAAGGAAUAUUGGUCAAUGGGGGCAACCCUGAACCAGCCAUGCCGCGUGCAGGAAGACGGCCCUACGGGUUGUAAACUGCUUUUAUACGGGAAUAAAUCUCGCUACGUGUAGGAGUUGAAUGUACU
Molecule: ribosomal RNA, 473 nt
Filed under: uncultured bacterium
Lineage: Bacteria
Description: bacterial SSU rRNA
Rfam family: Bacterial small subunit ribosomal RNA
Source: RNAcentral